GAUGAACGCUGGCGGCGUGCCUAAUACAUGCAAGUCGAGCGAACAGACGAGGAGCUUGCUCCUCUGACGUUAGCGGCGGACGGGUGAGUAGCACGUGGAUAACCUACCUAUAAGACUGGGAUAACUUCGGGAAACCGGAGCUAAUACCGGAUAAUAUAUUGAACCGCAUGGUUCAAUAGUGAAAGACGGUUUUGCUGUCACUUAUAGAUGGAUCCGCGCCGCAUUAGCUAGUUGGUAAGGUAACGGCUUACCAAGGCAACGAUGCGUAGCCGACCUGAGAGGGUGAUCGGCCACACUGGAACUGAGACACGGUCCAGACUCCUACGGGAGGCAGCAGUAGGGAAUCUUCCGCAAUGGGCGAAAGCCUGACGGAGCAACGCCGCGUGAGUGAUGAAGGUCUUCGGAUCGUAAAACUCUGUUAUUAGGGAAGAACAAAUGUGUAAGUAACUAUGCACGUCUUGACGGUACCUAAUCAGAAAGCCACGGCUAACUACGU
Molecule: ribosomal RNA, 496 nt
Filed under: uncultured bacterium
Lineage: Bacteria
Description: partial 16S ribosomal RNA
Rfam family: Bacterial small subunit ribosomal RNA
Source: RNAcentral